GCCGUGGUGGCGAAAUUGGUAGACGCAGCAGGUUUAGGUCCUGCCGCCGCAAGGCGUGGGGGUUCGAGUCCUCUCCACGGCACCA
RNAcentral lists this transfer RNA (85 nucleotides) under Betaproteobacteria bacterium. RNAcentral's name for it is "tRNA-Leu". It matches the Rfam family "tRNA". From Rfam's summary of the family: Transfer RNA (tRNA) molecules are approximately 80 nucleotides in length. Lineage: Bacteria; Pseudomonadati; Pseudomonadota; Betaproteobacteria. The record is from RNAcentral.